This 253-nucleotide ribosomal RNA is filed under the name uncultured bacterium. RNAcentral describes it as "partial 16S ribosomal RNA". It matches the Rfam family "Bacterial small subunit ribosomal RNA", at positions 524 to 776 of the family's 1533-position model. The record is from RNAcentral.
UACGAAGGGGGCUAGCGUUGUUCGGAAUCGCUGGGCGUAAAGCGCACGCAGGCGGAUUGAUAAGUCGGGGGUGAAAUCCCGGGGCUCAACCUCGGAAUUGCCUUCGAUACUGUCUGUCUUGAGUCCGGGAGAGGUGAGUGGAAUUCCUAGUGUAGAGGUGAAAUUCGUAGAUAUUAGGAAGAACACCAGUGGCGAAGGCGGCUCACUGGCCCGGUACUGACGCUCAUGUGCGAAAGCGUGGGGAGCAAACAGG